ACAAUCCUACAUGCAAGUGGAAACUUGAAAGGAGACAUGGGGCCGCAAACUCUCCCACAAACACUCAGUAACCACAUAACAGCUGCCUGAUGCAGAGCAGAGUCUCAUAAUCUGAUUAUCCUGACUGAUGUACUACACCAUCCAGAAAAAAACCUGAAGAUGGAAGUGAUCACAGCAGAACUGAAUGAUACAAUCUAUGGUUCCAACAAUCAGAGAAGAGAUGUGGGCUCCACGCCCAGUGUGGAGCCCAACGUGGGGCUUGA
Long non-coding RNA from Neomonachus schauinslandi (Hawaiian monk seal), 263 nucleotides. RefSeq lists it as uncharacterized. The record is from RefSeq and is a predicted model, not a curated record. The transcript is spliced from 3 exons. NCBI's taxonomy places the organism in Eukaryota, Metazoa, Chordata, Mammalia, Carnivora, Phocidae.